CCUACGGGAGGCAGCAGUGAGGAAUAUUGGACAAUGGAGGANACUCUGAUCCAGCCAUGCCGCGUGUAGGAAGAAUGCCCUAUGGGUUGUAAACUACUUUUAUACAGGAAGAAACACUGGUAUGUAUACCAGCUUGACGGUACUGUAAGAAUAAGGACCGGCUAACUCCGUGCCAGCAGCCGCGGUAAUACGGAGGGUCCGAGCGUUAUCCGGAAUCAUUGGGUUUAAAGGGUCCGCAGGCGGUCGAUUAAGUCAGAGGUGAAAUCCCAUAGCUCAACUAUGGAACUGCCUUUGAUACUGGUUGACUUGAGUCAUAUGGAAGUAGAUAGAAUGUGUAGUGUAGCGGUGAAAUGCAUAGAUAUUACACAGAAUACCGAUUGCGAAGGCAGUCUACUACGUAUGUACUGACGCUGAGGGACGAAAGCGUGGGGAGCGAACAGGAUUAGAUACCCUGGUAGUCCACGCCGUAAACGAUGGAUACUAGUUGUUGGGAUUUAUCUCAGUGACUAAGCGAAAGUGAUAAGUAUCCCACCUGGGGAGUACGGUCGCAAGACUGAAACUCAAAGGAAUUGACGGGG
This 578-nucleotide ribosomal RNA is filed under the name uncultured bacterium. RNAcentral describes it as "bacterial SSU rRNA". It matches the Rfam family "Bacterial small subunit ribosomal RNA", at positions 338 to 918 of the family's 1533-position model. The record is from RNAcentral.